GGCCAAGUCUCUUGGAAAAGGGCAGCUUAGAGGGUGAAACUCCCGUGUGCCUGGCAGGAUGAGAUGCUAAUCAACGAGUCGAGUUGUUUGGGAUUGCAGCUCAAAGUGGGUGGUAAAUUCCAUCUAAAGCUAAAUAUUGGUGGGAAACCGAUAGCGUACAAGUACCGUGAGGGAAGAUGCAAAGAACUUUGAAAAGAGAGUUAAAGAGUACCUGAAAUCGACUGAAAGGGAAGCGAAGAAAACCAGUGCAGGUUGAGUUAUACUUCCUGACCGCUUGCGUUUACGGGG
This 288-nucleotide ribosomal RNA is filed under the name uncultured eukaryote. Its description in RNAcentral is "partial large subunit ribosomal RNA". It matches the Rfam family "Eukaryotic large subunit ribosomal RNA", at positions 179 to 475 of the family's 3401-position model. The record is from RNAcentral.